Molecule: non-coding RNA, 27 nt
Filed under: Rattus norvegicus (Norway rat)
Lineage: Eukaryota; Metazoa; Chordata; Mammalia; Rodentia; Muridae
Source: RNAcentral
UGAUCUGUCACGCAGCAAGGACCAGUC